UGAACACAUAUUGCACAAGCAUUGAUAAUAUGUUCACAAACAUGCAUAUAUUGAUCAUAAGUUCAAAAACAGGACAGUCUUGACAAAGCAAAGUUUGGCCAUUUGGACCACCAUCCAGAAAACAGAAGCCACAUAAAAGGACCACUAUUUGUUGUUCUAAAGGAGUUCAAACACUAAAUGGUCCAGAAUAAAGUCACACCCAUGAGCACAAGAUAUAUGCCCGAAAACACUUGGAAGCACCAAAUGGUCCAGAACAGACAUAAGAUUCAUGAUCACAAGUUAGCUGGUCCAAAAUACCGCAAACAGCCAAAUGCUGCUGAACACUCCGAAGUCAUCACAUCCAUGCACAGUAGAUGGUUGAGUACCUGAAAAUGAAUGGUCAAAUUCUCGUAUGUUCACCCCAACGAUUUUGUGCACUUCAAAGUUUGAAAAUAAAUGUAAAAAGCAAAUGUAGUCGUAUGUUGUCUAAUGACCUAGAAUUAAAAUGUAUAACUUCAGACCCAAAAAACUACAGUAUGUGAAGUUUUGUAUAUGCCAUGUGAUCUUUAGAUUGUGACCAUCAAAGUGUUAACACCAAACUGAUAAAUGUAUGCUAACUACUAAGCAAUCUAUAUGAGCAUCAGAUUACGUCAUCUGAUUUCAUAUUUUUAAUUUUAAAACUGCAGUAUGUGGAGUUCGUUUUUAUAUACAAAACACGAGAAGUUAUCUAGUGAUGCUAUAAUUUCACAAAUAGGUAUUACAAUUUCAGAUACACUGAAGUGUUAUGUGUGACACAUUUUCCUCGCUUGCCAUUUGGUUUAAUCUGACGUAUGAUGGUUAAUCCAUGUACUAGUGUUCUUAGUUCAAUAUUAUCUGAUCGAUAAACUAGCUAAAUGAUAGGAAAAUCAGUCUUGGAGCAUUUGUGUGUUCAUAAAAAAUGAAAAGGGUUCCAAGAGAACUAUGGAAAAUGGUUCAUGGGUUGUAAAUAUUAUGUGUAAAUCAAAUGAUAACAUACUCACAUCGCCUGUUUCUUAUGCAAACUAUUUCAUUUCAUAGGUUGCUUCUUCCACUGCACGUUGCUAUGAAAAGUGUGAAGACAUGUAUCAACCACCCUGUGAAGAUGAAAACUAUGUUUAAUAAUAUAUAUAACUUGGCUAAUCCUAAAUCAAAUUAGUAAGUAGGCCAAGGGACUUCAAGUUAUGUCCUUGGUAAGUUUAUUGUAUGAACUUUUCAAAUGCACAAAUGAUUUUCAGGUAAUAUCAGGCCAUCACCAGAAUAAACACGAAUAUCUCACAAAAGUACCAUGUACGGACGUUAUUAAGAUUUAAGUACUGCCUUAUUCUUGAACAAGAUCGUCAUUAUUAUGAUUGAACUUCUUAUAUCUUCCUACUGCUUACAAUCAGAAUGGGGUUGAUAGGCUAUAAUUAGUUAUAAAUAUGCUCAAACCAAAAAUUAGCCAUCUUUCCCAUUUUAAGCAGACAUGUUAGCAAUAGUACCUUGGCCUGAUAGUGAUCGAGACACCAGACACAAACCUUGUUGUUUUGGUACCUGCCAGCACCACCACCAACAACAGCAUACCCAUUAGGUCCACAGUUCAUAUUAAAUGGCACAUGUGGAAUCAUAUACCCAACAGAAACAGCAGCAAGGUAACUAGGGAAAUCAAGGC
Molecule: long non-coding RNA, 1645 nt
Filed under: Triticum aestivum (bread wheat)
Lineage: Eukaryota; Viridiplantae; Streptophyta; Magnoliopsida; Poales; Poaceae
Description: long non-coding RNA (TAES_LNC015179)
Source: RNAcentral